RNAcentral lists this ribosomal RNA (253 nucleotides) under uncultured bacterium. Its description in RNAcentral is "partial 16S ribosomal RNA". It matches the Rfam family "Bacterial small subunit ribosomal RNA", at positions 524 to 776 of the family's 1533-position model. The record is from RNAcentral.
CACGUAGGGGACGAGCGUUGUCCGGAUUCAUUGGGCGUAAAGCGCGCGUAGGCGGCUCGGAAAGUCGGUCGUGAAAUGCCGGGGCUCAACCCCGGGACUGCGUCCGAUACUCCCGGACUGGAGGCAGGUAGGGGAGAGCGGAAUUCCCGGUGUAGCGGUGAAAUGCGCAGAUAUCGGGAAGAACACCGGUGGCGAAGGCGGCUCUCUGGACCUGUCCUGACGCUCAGGCGCGAAAGCUAGGGGAGCGAACAGG